Molecule: unclassified non-coding RNA, 557 nt
Filed under: Curvularia spicifera
Lineage: Eukaryota; Fungi; Ascomycota; Dothideomycetes; Pleosporales; Pleosporaceae
Description: sequence contains ITS1, 5.8S rRNA gene and ITS2
Rfam family: 5.8S ribosomal RNA (bases 165-318)
Source: RNAcentral
AUAACAAGAAAAUACGAAGGCCGUUCGCGGCUGGACUAUUUAUUACCCUUGUCUUUUGCGCACUUGUUGUUUCCUGGGCGGGUUCGCUCGCCACCAGGACCACAAUAUAAACCUUUUUUAUGCAGUUGCAAUCAGCGUCAGUAUAACAAAUGUAAAUCAUUUACAACUUUCAACAACGGAUCUCUUGGUUCUGGCAUCGAUGAAGAACGCAGCGAAAUGCGAUACGUAGUGUGAAUUGCAGAAUUCAGUGAAUCAUCGAAUCUUUGAACGCACAUUGCGCCCUUUGGUAUUCCAAAGGGCAUGCCUGUUCGAGCGUCAUUUGUACCCUCAAGCUUUGCUUGGUGUUGGGCGUUUUUGUCUUUGGCCCGCCAAAGACUCGCCUUAAAAUGAUUGGCAGCCGGCCUACUGGUUUCGCAGCGCAGCACAUUUUUGCGCUUGCAAUCAGCAAAAGAGGACGGCAAUCCAUCAAGACUCCUUCUCACGUUUGACCUCGGAUCAGGUAGGGAUACCCGCUGAACUUAAGCAUAUCAAUAAGCCGGAGGAAAACCUGUAGAAUU